This 1180-nucleotide long non-coding RNA is filed under the name Fukomys damarensis (Damara mole-rat). RNAcentral's name for it is "lncRNA (ENSFDAG00000029084.1)". The record is from RNAcentral. Lineage: Eukaryota; Metazoa; Chordata; Mammalia; Rodentia; Bathyergidae.
CACUGAUUGGUGAACAGGUUAGCGGAGACUCUCGCGAGAUAAGGAGUUCUCCGCUACACCAGUCCUAAGAGGAGGCCUGUGCUUGGCGUGUCCUUCUGAGGAGAUGGCUUCCAGAUCAUUCCUAACGGCUCCAAAGAAAGGGAUGACAGAGUUUUUGAGCAGAGGAAAUCUGUCCCUUCUAGAUAUGUCUCUAGAUGACAUUAUACUCCUUAAAAACGUAGGAGACAGCAACACUGACAAGAAAGAGGACAAGACUGAGUAUGAUAUAAAAAUGCCAGGAGCUUCAGGAGAGCAAUCAAAUGCUCAUAAGGAUCACUGGAAGAGAGGUGAUGAAAGAAACGCUGAGGAAACAAUGGAAGACAAUUCUCUAUCUGAAUCUGAACAAAGCCCUCCAAACCAGGAGCCUUUAAAAGAGCAGGAGAAAUACAACGUUGGUUAUAAGGCCCAAUCGGAAGCAAAAGAGCAUCAGCCAAAAGGAAAUCAAGACAACUUAGAGAGAUCUCAUGGUCAAUCCAAGAGAUCUCGUAGUAAAUCCGAGAGAUCUCAUGACCACUCAAAGAGAUCUCAUGGCAGUUCAGAAAGAUCUCAUGCCCACUCAGAGAGAUAUCAUGGCCGUUCAGAGAGAUCUCAUGCCCACUCAGAGAGAUAUCAUGGCCACUCAGGGAGAUCUCAUGGUCGCUCAGGGAGAUCUCAUCAUCACUCGAGGAGAUCUCCUGAUCAAUCAGAGAGAUCUUAUCGCAAGUCAGAGAGAUAUCGAAGACACUUUCCAGGAGGAGGAUUCAAAACAUCAUUCGAAAGUGAUUCUCAAUUUGACGGAGAUUUUUCAAUAAAAAGAAAAAAUGACUACUUUUAUGAAAAGAAGCUUCAAAAAAAUGAUCCACUGGAAAUGCAUCGAGUGAUAACUCCAGAAGAUGAGCAUAACUCCUAUGAAACCGAAAGAAGCUAUACAAGACACGUGAGUCGUGGACAGGAAAUCUUAUUUCUAAAGAAUAGAUAUACUGGGGAGGGUUCUCUGUACCAGCCCAAAGGAGUAUACCUGAAUUUCAACUUUCAAGCACUGGGAAAUCAGACUAAGCUUUCACUCAAUGCCAGAUUCUCUAAACUGAGAUUUAUGAGAAAACCAGUUUCCUUCAACUCCUGAAGACCAGAGUUUCUUUCCUAGUGGAUUAUGUUCAAGAGC